Molecule: ribosomal RNA, 491 nt
Filed under: uncultured bacterium
Lineage: Bacteria
Description: bacterial SSU rRNA
Rfam family: Bacterial small subunit ribosomal RNA
Source: RNAcentral
GACGAACGCUGGCGGCGUGCCUAACACAUGCAAGUCGAACGGGACCAGGGGCAACUCUGGUUCAGUGGCGGACGGGUGCGUAACACGUGAGGAACAUGACCUUCGGCGGGGGAGUAGCCGGCCCAACGCCGGGUAAUACCGCGUACGACCAUUCGGGGACGAUCCCUGGAUGGUGAAAGACAGCAAUGCGCCGAUGGAGUGCCUCGCGGCCUAUCAGCUAGUUGGUGAGGUAACGGCNCACCAAGGCGACGACGGGUAGCUGGUCUGAGAGGAUGGCCAGCCACAUUGGGACUGAGACACGGCCCAGACUCCUACGGGAGGCAGCAGUGGGGAAUAUUGCGCAAUGGACGAAAGUCUGACGCAGCGACGCCCGCGUGUGGGAUGACGGUCUUCGGAUUAGUAAACCACUGUCGGGAGGGACGAAUACGCCGCAAGGCGGGUGACGGUACCUCCAAAGGAGCACCGGCUAACUCCGUGCCAGCCGCCGCCGU